This 478-nucleotide ribosomal RNA is filed under the name uncultured bacterium. RNAcentral's name for it is "partial 16S ribosomal RNA". It matches the Rfam family "Bacterial small subunit ribosomal RNA", at positions 28 to 523 of the family's 1533-position model. The record is from RNAcentral.
GACGAACGCUGGCGGCGUGCUUAACACAUGCAAGUCGAACGGUAAGGCCCUUCGGGGUACACGAGUGACGAACGGGUGAGUAACACGUGGGUGAUCUGCCCUGCGCUUCGGGAUAAGCCUGGGAAACUGGGUCUAAUACCGGAUAGGACCACUGCCUGCAUGGGUGGUGGUGGAAAGCUCUUGCGGUGUGGGAUGGGCCCGCUGCCUAUCAGCUUGUUGGUGGGGUGAUGGCCUACCAAGGCGACGACGGGUAGCCGGCCUGAGAGGGUGACCGGCCACACUGGGACUGAGGUACGGCCCAGACUCCUACGGGGGGCAGCAGUGGGGAAUAUUGCACAAUGGGCGCAAGCCUGAUGCAGCGACGCCGCGUGAGGGAUGACGGCCUUCGGGUUGUAAACCUCUUUCAGCACCGACGAAGCGCAAGUGACGGUAGGUGCAGAAGAAGGACCGGCCAACGACGUGCCAGCCGCCGCCGUAA